AACGAACGCUGGCGGCAGGCUUAACACAUGCAAGUCGAGCGCCCCGCCAGGGGAGCGGCCGGCGGGUGGGUAACGCGUGGGAACGUACCUUUUGGUUCGGAACAACUCCGGGAAACUGGAGCUAAUACCGGAUAAGCCCUAACGGGGAAAGAUUUAUCGCCGAAAGAUCGGCCCGCGUCUGAUUAGCUAGUUGGUGGGGUAACGGCUCACCAAGGCGACGAUCAGUAGCUGGUCUGAGAGGAUGAUCAGCCACACUGGGACUGAGACACGGCCCAGACUCCUACGGGAGGCAGCAGUGGGGAAUAUUGGACAAUGGGCGCAAGCCUGAUCCAGCCAUGCCGCGUGAGUGAUGAAGGCCUUAGGGUUGUAAAGCUCUUUUGUCCGGGAAGAUAAUGACGGUACCGGAAGAAUAAGCCCCGGCUAACUUCGUG
Molecule: ribosomal RNA, 431 nt
Filed under: uncultured bacterium
Lineage: Bacteria
Description: partial 16S ribosomal RNA
Rfam family: Bacterial small subunit ribosomal RNA
Source: RNAcentral